GCCUUGAUCGUUGACAAAGGUGGAUGCAGAGUGGUGUUAUCACAACCAAAGAAAGAAAGAAAGAAAGGCAGAAAGUAAAAAGAAGAACAGAUUUUAUUCAUUCAUUCUCUGUAAAAUAUUUAUAAUAAGAGUUUUUACAGCAACCUUGGAAGGUCUAGGUAUAAAGCAAAAAAAAUGGAGAAAGGUAAAAGCUUAAGAAGUGGCACCCGAAGCUGGAGUGUUCGUCGUAGGUACAUCAACUGUAGUAGGUUCCCAAAGUUUAUCCAAAAAAUUUAGAUUUAGCUCUGGAUACUUAGCCGCAACCCUGUCCCGAACCAGCUGCUUCCCACCGGCAUAGGCAUCAGCAGAGAACUCGAUCUUCUCAUCCUCGUAUUCCAUUGACACUCAGAAGUCUGUAAUGGCCCUGGAAGCGGCCUCUACUGCCUUCUUAUCUGCCACCUCUAAUUGAACUUCAAGCUCCUUAAUUUUUUCUAACAGUCAAGAAUUCUCCUCGAUAACUCCUCUUAACGUCGCUUCAGCAUCUUCAGCUCUCUUUUCAGCAGUGUUAGCCCUUAUAGAGGUCUCUUCAACCUCCCUCAUGGCUUUGUCCCUAGUGCCUUUGAGUGUCUCGAUGUCGGCUUGGUACUUCCUCACCCCAAUCAAAAGGUCGUGAUAGCUCUCUAUACCUAUUUAGAUAAUGAACGAGCUAUCAAGAAAAAUCUCUUUUUAGUGCACAUGAUAAGUAAAUGUUUAAAGUAAAUAAAUCCAUAGAAAUUCAAACUCACCUGGAUGAAGCUCUCC
This 780-nucleotide long non-coding RNA is filed under the name Elaeis guineensis (African oil palm). RNAcentral describes it as "long non-coding RNA (EGUI_LNC012376)". The record is from RNAcentral. Lineage: Eukaryota; Viridiplantae; Streptophyta; Magnoliopsida; Arecales; Arecaceae.